RNAcentral lists this ribosomal RNA (101 nucleotides) under Pantoea sp. ICBG 1758. RNAcentral describes it as "partial 23S ribosomal RNA". It matches the Rfam family "Bacterial large subunit ribosomal RNA", at positions 1 to 92 of the family's 2925-position model. Lineage: Bacteria; Pseudomonadati; Pseudomonadota; Gammaproteobacteria; Enterobacterales; Erwiniaceae. The record is from RNAcentral.
GGGUUGUGAGGUUAAGCGACCAAGCGUACACGGUGGAUGCCCUGGCAGUCAGAGGCGAUGAAGGACGUGCUAAUCUGCGAAAAGCGCCGGCAAGGUGAUAU